RNAcentral lists this long non-coding RNA (1541 nucleotides) under Citrus x clementina. RNAcentral's name for it is "Citrus clementina (C. clementina) long non-coding RNA (CCLE_LNC005674)". Lineage: Eukaryota; Viridiplantae; Streptophyta; Magnoliopsida; Sapindales; Rutaceae. The record is from RNAcentral.
UCUUGCUACGUUGUCCCAAUUCGCUGCUUCGUUGAUCAGGAACCAAGUCGCUGAAAUGGCGUGGGAAGAAGAUGUAAGGUUGUCGCUGCUUGGUGUCAUCAGGUUUAAUUUGUUUUAUUUCUUGUGGUUAGCAUCUGAUGUGGAGCUAUUUCUAUUUGUUUAUUUGCAGCUUGUUUGUGAGUAUCUAUGUGGACCGAAUUUCAUGUUUUGGCUUUGACUGCUUGUUUGGAUAUUGAUUGUUAUUGAGUUUCUUUUCUUAAUCUCCCAAAGCAUAUUAUUGGUUGGUUACUCUUAUAAACCCAGUCUCAAAAUUGGAUGGUCUGGCUGUGCUAAUCGAUUGCAACAUUUUUUGUCUUCUUAUUUUAAUAGAAGGAGAUUAAUUGGCAACCUGCAAGUAAUAAGACAUAGACUGAAACUUUUUCUAUCGAAAGAAAAUUGCUCUUGGAGAAAUUUAUUGUUUACUUCUGUCUCGUGAAUAUUGAAUCCAAAUGCCUCAUCCUCCAAUCAUGGAACUGCAUACCAACUGUAAUCCAAACUGGUGUUUUCUUGAUAGAUAAUCUAUUUGAUUGUCACGACCUGUUGAAAUUAAGUUAAAAAAUCCACCUUGACUAUUAGCCAGAUAUUUGGUCAAAGAAGAUUCUUAGAUGCAAAUUUUUGGCUGCUGCUGCUACGUACGGGUUUCGUCUUCUCUAUCAUAGUGGAGAUACUUAAAAAAUUUUCCUGAUCCUUCAAUUUUCUUAUGCUACAUACCCUGUUAGUACUCAAUACAUGUGAUCAGUUACUAUAUUAUGAGGCCAUUUUUGUUCUUCUGACUGCUAUAAAGGAUCUCUUGACAUGAAUUUUAAAUAAACUAUGAGACAGAUUUUAUUAAACAAUAGUACAAAUAACAUUUAUAAUACAAUACUGUCUAGUUAUUAGCUAUUCGGGACACUUCAAGAUACCCAAAAGUAAUAUUUAAUCACCAUCGUUUUUCUUCCUCCGAGAUGUAAGUGGUGGAAUACUUUGUUCAUUUCUGAAGAAAUUAUGAGGAUCAACCAUAGUCUUCACAUGAACCAACCUUUUGAAAUUGUUCUUGAAAUAUUUGUUGCCCCAAAUGCUAGCUUGUUCUAUGCUUGUGUAUCCUUGGUUAUUUGUUCCGAUGUCAAGAUCCCUGUAAUUGACAUAUGCUUCUCGGGGAUUUUUUGAAACAUAGGGUGUCAUGUAACUGUACAAGCUCCUGAUCCAGUCAAUAUGUCUUUGAGAUAUUCCAUCUCCUCUCCAAGAAACUCCGUAAAAAAUUUUGUAUAAGUUACCAGCUCUAUGUGGGAAUGGAGUCUCAGACUCUGAUAUCUCACUCAUUUUCCCACCAUAAGGAACCAAUACAAUGAAAGCCGUUUCUCCCUCUUCUUUAUAAAACUUAUCAUAUAUUCCUUCAAAUGCAUUUUCAGGGAUAGGCUGCUUGACGUAAUCUGCUUUUGCUUUGAAAGGACUUUUUGUUGUAGAUUUCACAACAAGCCCAUUGGAUCUAGCAUUCCUAUCAAGCAACAAAUCCAAGGACUGUC